AAGCAAAGAUAAAAACGCAACGCACGCUUUCUCGGCGUGCCAGAGCCGGUAGGUAGCCCGGCCGUCCUGUCCAUCCUGACAGGGUAAGUAACCCUCCCUCCUUGGGUUGUCCAUUCUUUGCC
This 122-nucleotide non-coding RNA is filed under the name bovine gut metagenome. RNAcentral's name for it is "yjdF RNA". It matches the Rfam family "azaaromatic riboswitch aptamer (yjdF RNA)", at positions 5 to 92 of the family's 101-position model. The record is from RNAcentral.